CAGUCGCCACGGUAAUACGUAGGGCGCAAGCGUUAUCCGGAAUUAUUGGGCGUAAAGAGCUCGUAGGCGGUUUGUCGCGUCUGCCGUGAAAGUCCGGGGCUCAACCCCGGAUCUGCGGUGGGUACGGGCAGACUAGAGUGAUGUAGGGGAGACUGGAAUUCCUGGUGUAGCGGUGAAAUGCGCAGAUAUCAGGAGGAACACCGAUGGCGAAGGCAGGUCUCUGGGCAUUAACUGACGCUGAGGAGCGAAAGCAUGGGGAGCGAACAGGAUUAGAUACCCCCGUAGUCCCUGUCUCUUAUAC
Molecule: ribosomal RNA, 301 nt
Filed under: uncultured bacterium
Lineage: Bacteria
Description: partial 16S ribosomal RNA
Rfam family: Bacterial small subunit ribosomal RNA
Source: RNAcentral